UCCUCUAACAAUGUCUCUCAAAUUCUUCAAACCCCUUUUUGAUUCUUCCUCAUGGCCCCUUCAAGAACUCAAUGUUGAGCAAAAGGGGGUGUUUUUCUCCUAUUUUCUUGGGUUUUUAGCUUUACUAUGGUUCCUGUGGAUUUUCAUCAGUAAUAACUCAAACAAGAGACUGCCACCAGGGCCUAAAGCUUUGCCCUUGAUAGGUAAUCUUCAUUCUCUUGAUCCUGAACUUCACACCUAUUUUUGCAUCUCUUUCCCAAAACUUAUGGCCCGAUUUGUAGACUCUGGCUUGGUAAAAAAAUUGGGAUUAUUAUUACUUCUCCUGCUUUAGCUCAUGAGGUUCUUAAGGAUCAAGAUACCAUUUUUGCUAACAGAGAUGUGCCGGCUGCUGGUAGAGAAGCUACAUAUGGGGGAAAUGACAUAACUUGGACUCCUUAUGGACCGAAAUGGCGUAUGUUGAGGAAGGUUUGUGUUCGUGAUAUGCUUAGUGGUUCUACUUUAGAUUCUGUUUAUGCACUAAGGAAAAAGGAGCUUAGACAGACAAUCAAUUACUUUUAUAAUCAGGCGGGAUCGCCUGUGAACGUUGGUGAACAGAUGUUCUUGACUGUGCUUAAUGUGAUUACAAGCAUGUUAUGGGGUGGCACAGUGAAGGGUGAGGAAAGAGCUAAUCUUGGGGCAGAGUUUAGGCAUGUUGUGAAUGAAAUGACUGAGCUGUUAGGUACUCCAAAUGUUUCCGAUUUUUACCCAGCCUUGGACUGGUUCGAUUUGCAGGGUGUUAUAAAGAAGAUGAAAGUGUUGGCAAAGAGAUUUGAUAAGAUAUUUGAGAGCAUGAUUGAUCAAAGACAGAAAAUGGAUAGAAAUGCUGAGACGGGAGCUAAUGUUGGUCAAGAAAGCAAGGACUUUUUGCAAGUUUUGCUGAAGUUGAAAGAUGAAGCAGAUUCCAAAAUGCCUCUGACUAUGACUGAACUCAAAGCCUUACUCAUGGUAUGAUCUGUUACUUGAUGCGAUUUUGAUUGUUUCCAUUUGAUUACUGAAUUGUUGGUUGCUAACUAUUUAUUGGACUGCACUAAGGAAAGAGUCAUUUAGCAUCAAAUAAUAUAUAAAGCUUUAAUUAUAUCAAAAAAAUAUGUGAAGACUAAAUUGAGAACCUUGAGCUGAACACCUAUAUACAGUUCUACAAAUAAAAAAUUGUUGUACAUGAUAAUAACUUUAAGAAUACCAUGAACAGGAUAUGGUUGUUGGUGGAACUGACACUACUGCCAACGUAGUUGAGUUUGCCUUGGCUGAAAUUAUGAACAAACCAGAUGUCUUGAGGAAAUUACAACAAGAAGUAGAUACAGUCGUGGGAAAAGAUAACAUAGUGGAAGAGUCUCAUAUUCAACAGUUACCAUAUUUCUAUGCAGUUAUGAAAGAAGCCUUGCGUUUACAUCCAGCUCUUCCACUCUUGGUCCCUCAUUGUCCUAGUGAAACAUGCACUGUUGGAGGAUACACUGUUCCUGAAGGAUCUCGUGUUUUCAUAAAUGUAUGGGCUAUACAGCGAGAUCCUUCUAUCUGGAAAAAUCCAACUGAGUUCCAUCCAGAGAGAUUUUUGGACAAUAAAUGGGAUUAUAGUGGAAAUGAUUUCAACUAUUUCCCAUUUGGUUCUGGCAGAAGAAUAUGUGCGGGGAUUGGCAUGGCAGAGAGGAUGUUCAUGUAUUCACUGGCUUCACUCAUUCAUUCUUUCGACUGGAAAUUGCCCGAAGGAGAGACAUUAGACCUCACAGAGAAGUUUGGGAUUGUUCUGAAGAAGAAAAUGCCUCUGGUGGCUAUACCUAUUCCAAGAUUAUCCAAUCCAACACUCUAUGAGUAAAAUAAAAGAUGUUGCUCUAUCCUGUCAAUGGUCUUAUGAACAACUCAAUGUCCACUGUUCCAUGUGAUAUGGCUGAUUUUUUUUAUGACUACUUAUGAAUUUGAAAUAAUAAUACAUGUAUUACUCUCAUUGGGUAUGUUGUUGUUGUGAACCAAAUGGACAAUAACAUAUACCAGUACUGCAGUAAUUAUUAUAUGCUUAUCGAUAAAUCUGUAUAUUGUAAUUUGUGUGUAAUUUAUCCAUAAGCGUAUGGUUUUGAUGAGCACAUAUGGUUGUAAUUAUUCUCAUUGAGGUUUGCAAUCUCCUGUUUCCUACCUUUUGCUAGUGUGUUCUUAUACAACUAUUGAAAUGUGUUUGUAGUGAUUAUACUUCUAUCUUUUGUACUAUAUAUGGAGAUGUGCUCCCUGUAAUUUGGAUCCAUUUCUAAUUAAUUCAAUGCUUUCUAUACAUACAGUUGGUACACAUCAAGAUUAUGAAACCUGCAAUCAGUGUGGCUGAAUCACCUGUAUUUGACUAGAUUCAUUCCAGAAUCUUCUCAACCGAAGUUAAAAUACCUAAUCAAGCUAUUCUUAUGCUGACAGUUUAGUUUCCUCGUUCACAAUGGUCGUUUGUGUGUUCCAGAUGGCAUCCGGAGGCGAUCAUUUCUGAGGUAGACGGUAAGCCACUCACUUCUAGCAGUCGUUCCAGAAAGGCUUGGGCACACAUGUUAAACCAAAAUUUAACCUUUAUAUACAACACUCAUGGACACAUAUGUUUCUAAGUAUCUGCAAGUUUUUGGUGUUAACUACAAAUGAUGUGAUUAAAAUAUCCCCUAGAUGUAAAUGAAACUACAUUGAAGUGGUGAAAUGACAAUGGCAUGAAGAUAUAUGUGGAAGUAUAAGAUGGAUAACAUGGCAUGGGAGAGUUUAAAUGGAAUCCGGAAACGAGGCAUGCCUUCAGGACUUCCUCGCUAUUCCCCAAGAGAAAACAAAGGGAAGUGAGAUAAAUGAUUUACACCCACUAAAUUCCCCACUUUGUUUUAGAAAGAUGUUCAUAAAAUUAAUCAAACAAAAUAGUAGUCAAAGUGUAAUUUUCUAUCUUAUUAUAUGGUAUAAUAGGUUACAAGAAUUAUUAUUAUUAUUAUAGAGAAAUCGGAAUAAAGAAGAUAAGCAUAAUACUAAAAACACAAGUGAAAUUAGUAUUACAAAGGAAAACCUUGAGCAAGGUGUGUGAAAUUUUCCUAAAAGAAAGUAAACAAAAAGGAUCUUAAAGAGCAUAUUUCUGCUGGCAUGAAGACAAUAUAUACCUAAUUUAAUACGAUUUCUUUAUCUGUCUUGUGGACAGGAAGAAGCACCAAUUCUAGCUGGAAGGUAUCAACAUCUGAAGAUUCAUUUGCACUACCCAACAAAGGUCAUUGACUUCUUCAGUUAUUUGAAUCCCAAGGUACAAUUAUAUUUGUUUACGCCAAAUUAUAUUAAUUUAUUGCUGUAUAAGGAACUAAUGUAUCAUAUCAAUUUUGAACGAAUCAUAUAUCUGCCGAAUACUUUUUGUCUUGAUCCAAGAUUUCUCAUUCCUUUAUCAAAAUACCAUUUUGUUUUAAGUGGUGUUAAAACAUUGAGCUUCCCACCAUAUUGGUUCUGCCAAUUUCCAUUUCCCUCUUAGGCUCAAAUAAUGUCUCUCAAAUUCUUCAAACCUCUGUUUGAUUCUUUCUCAUGUUCCUGGCAAGAAUCAAAUAUUGGACAAAAAGGUGUAUUUUACUCCUAUGUUCUUGGUAUUGUAGCUUUACUAUGGUUUCUUUGGUUUUUCAUUAACAAGUCAAAAAAGGGACAGCCCCCAUUGCCACCAGGGCCUAAAGCUUUGCCUUUGAUAGGUAAUCUCCAUUCUCUUGAUCCUGAACUUCACACCUAUUUUGCAUCUCUUUCCCAAACUUAUGGCCCCAUUUGUAGACUCUGGCUUGGUAAAAAACUUGGGAUCAUUAUUACUUCGCCUGCCUUAGCUCGCGAGGUUCUUAAGGAUCAAGAUACCAUUUUUGCUAAUAGAGAUGUGCCUGCUGCUGGUAGAGAAGCUACAUAUGGUGGCACUGAUAUAGUUUGGACUCCUUAUGGACCGAAAUGGCGCAUGUUGAGGAAAGUAUGUGUUCGCGAAAUGCUUAGUGGUUCUACUUUAGAUUCUGUUUAUGCAUUGAGGCGACGGGAGCUUAGACAAACGAUCAAUUACUUCUAUAGUCAGGCGGGAUUGCCUGUGAAUAUAGGUGAACAGAUGUUCUUGACUGUGCUUAAUGUGAUUACAAGCAUGUUAUGGGGUGGCACAGUGAAGGGCGAGGAAAGAGCUAGUCUUGGGGCAGAGUUUAGGCAUGUUGUUACUAAGAUGACUGAACUGUUAGGUACUCCAAAUCUUUCUGAUUUUUAUCCGGGCUUGGCCAGGUUUGAUUUGCAGGGUGUUACAAAGAAGAUGAAAGUAUUGGCAAAGAGAUUUGAUAAGAUAUUUGAGAGCAUGAUUGAUAAAAGACAGGAGAUUGAUAGAAAUGGUGGGAUGGAAACUGGUGUUGGCCAAGAAAAUAAGGAUUUUUUGCAAGUUUUGCUGAAACUGAAAGAUGAUGAAGCUGCCAAAAUGCCUUUGACCAUGCCUGAACUCAAAGCCUUACUCAUGGUAUGUUUUCUCAAUUGUGCAUGCUACUACAGGAAAAAUCCAGUAUGUUAACACUUAACUAUGAACCUUGAACUGAACUCCAGUAUCCAGCUCUACAAGUAGUAUGAAUUUUGUUGUACAUGAUAAUAACUUUAAAAAUACUGUGAACAGGAUAUGGUUGUCGGUGGAACUGACACAACCUCCAACACGGUUGAGUUUGCCAUGGCUGAAAUUAUGAACAAGCCAGACGUCCUGAGAAAAUUGCAACAAGAAAUAGAUACAGUUGUGGGUAAAGAUAACAUAGUGGAAGAGUCUCAUAUUCAACACUUGCCAUAUUUCUAUGCAGUUAUGAAAGAAGUCUUGCGUCUACAUCCAGCGCUUCCACUCUUGGUUCCUCAUUGUCCUAGUGAGACAAGCACUGUUGGAGGAUACACUGUUCCUAAAGGAUCUCGUGUUUUCAUAAAUGUAUGGGCAAUACAGAGAGAUCCUUCUAUAUGGGAAAAUCCAACUGAGUUUCAUCCAGAAAGAUUUUUCGAAAAUAAAUGGGACUAUAGUGGAAAUGAUCUCAACUACUUCCCGUUUGGUUCUGGCAGAAGAAUCUGUGCGGGGAUAGCCAUGGCAGAGAGGAUGUUCAUGUAUUCACUGGCUUCACUCAUUCAUUCUUUCGACUGGAAAUUCCCCGAAGGAGAGACAUUAGACCUUACAGAGAAGUUUGGAAUUGUUCUGAAGAAGAAAAUGCCUCUGGUGGCUAUACCUACUCCAAGAUUAUCCAAUCCGACACUGUAUGAGUAAGAUAUGUCUGUAGAGAGACGUGUUCUGCAUGAUGAUUAUAUCUUUUUGUAUGAUGAACUAUGGAAAAGUGCUCCAUGAAAAUAGGAUCUAUUUGAAAUUGAUUGGAAGUUUUCUGUAUAGUUUGUACACAUCAUGAAUAAAUAUAAAAAGGGUGUUUGACAGAUUAGUUAAAUUAUAUACUUUUGUAUUAGCUUAAAAAAAUCCCUAAUUGAAAAGACAAAUUGGAACCAAGGGUGUGUUUGGUAUGAAGGAAAAUGAUUUAUAGUGUUUGAUUUAUGAAUGAAAAAUAUUUUUAAGAAAUAUAUUUUAUUUUUACUAGAGUAGAAAAUAAUUUUUGAAAUUGAAAAUAUUUUUUAAAAAUAAACUUAAAUUUUGUUGAAAAUAUUUUUUAUAAACAAUAAAAAAUUGAUAGCGAGGGGCGAGGGUAGUGGGUGGGGGUAAAAAAUAAAAAUUUGAAAUUAGAAAUAUCUUUUUAAAAUAAUUUUUAAUAUUUUUUUGGGACGGGGUAGGGGUAGGGGUGAGGGUGGGUAAAAAAAUUGAAUUUAAAAACAAGCUUUAAAAUUAUUAUUAUUUUUUGGGGGGAGGGGGGGUGGUUGGGGGGCUGAUUUGAGGGUAGGGACAAAAUAAAUUGAUUUUUUCAACAAAAAAGUAAUUGUAAUAUGAAAUUGAAAGAGAGUUUUGGAAAAUGUUUUCCUUAAGUUUUGAAGGGAAAUCAUUUUCCUUAAAUUUGAGGAAAAUGAAUUGAUUUGAAAAACAUUUAACCCAACCAAAAUGAGAAAAUUAGAAAAUCCUACCAAACACACCCCAAUAAUUGUUUCAUUGGUUUUGCUUUGAAGUUUGAAGCAGCAGGAUUGGGGAGGUAUGUUCAUAUUGUGGUUUUGCAGACUUUCAAGAGUCACUUUUUGUCUUAUCCAACAUAUUUAUAUUCUUCAGCAAAUUUUACUUCCUUUUUAUAUAUAUAUAUGGUGUUAAAGUAUUGAUUUUUUUCUCCCUAAUAUUAAAGCAAUAAUUUAUGAUUGAUCAAGGUUAAAAAAGAAAAUAGUAAUUAUUUUUGAUUUCUGAAAACCAAUUUUUGUUAUUACUCAAAACAGCUACUCUAUUUUUUCAGUGAACCUUAACCAGCAACCUCAAUUCUCUAAAUUAACUUGAAAAAAUAAUAACUUUUAACUGCUCAUAAUUUGGCCAAACAUACUCCAAUAUCCUAUGUGACUAUGAGAAACUUUAAUUUUUGUUUCUCCAAAGAAAAGAAAAGAAAGGAACAGUCCCCAUAUUGAAACAACAAAUUAGAAUCUUACAGGCAUGUUUGGAAAGCCAUCCCGAUAAUUAGAUUUGAUGUAAUUGAGUGUAAUUAUAUUAUCUGACGUGCUUGAUUUAAAUUUGAUGUAAUUGAGUGUAAUUACAUUGUCUGGCGUGUUUGAUUGUCCAUGUAGUUACUUGGUAAUUGAGUGUAAUUGAUAGGGAGAAUUAGACUCUUCAAUUUUCAGGGAGCGGCUGUGAAUUACAAGCUGAUUACUUUUUAAUUUCAUCUUUUUAUUUUAAUUUAUUUUUUAUUUUUAUUAUUCUAUUUUUAAAAAAAGAUUAUUUUAUAUUAUUUAUAUUUCAUUUCCUUCUCAUUCUCAACCUUUACUUCAUAUGAUUCCAUGUAUUUUUCGUAUUAUCUAUCUUUUUAUGGCAUGUUAUUUUUUCAUUAGCAUAAUUUGGUUAGUAUUUGAAUUUUUAAAUUAAAGUAGAAUUCAUUGUUAAGUAAAGUUAUAGACUUACGUUUUUCUUUCUUUUUAAAAUAUAUUUAUGUUUGUUAUGUUGAAAUUUGAUAUAAGAGUAUUGUGUUAAAUAUUUUGUUUGAAUUUACAACUUAUGUUAUAAUUUUAGUUUCAUUUGUUUUAGUAGUAUUGAUAGAUUAUCUUUUUGUCUAAUAUUUUAAUAAUUUAUGAUACUUUAUUUUUAUCAAACAUGCAUUUCACGAUGUUCAUAGAAAUCUUGUACUUUUAGUUUCUUUUUUAUGAUUAAUUCAAUUGAAAUAUACUAAUUUGAAAAAUAUAAAUCAAUUACUUUUUCAUAAUAUUAGUUAAGAACAUAUGUUUAUUAUUAAUAUAUUUUCAAAAGACAAUAUAUAUCUUAAAUAUUUAAUUUAAUAUCAUUUAUAAAGUUCCUUAUUUAUCUAAUAUAAAUUUAAAUAAUUAACUUUUAUUUUUAAAAUUGAAUUCAAACCAUUCAUGUAUAAUUAUACUAUGACAAACAAACAUGUCAGUGUAUUAGUUGGUUGUGUAAGCACUAGUGGAGUUUGUCUCAACAUUUUUUAUUUGGGGGUUCCACUGGAGUAUCUUAAAGUAUUGCAGAAACAUUGUGGAGAGCCAGCAACACAAGAGUUAUCUGUAUGAAAUGAGGUAACAGUAUGUGGCAUACUUAGUUUUACUAUGGUUUCUUUGGUUUUUCAUCAGUAACUCAAACAAGGGACUGCCACCAGGGCCUAAACCUUUGCCUUUGAUAGGUAAUCUCCUCUCUCUUGAUCCUCAACUUCACACCUAUUUUGCAUCUCUUUCCCAAACUUAUGGCCCCAUUUGUAGACUCUGGCUUGGUAAAAAACUUGGGAUUAUUAUUACUUCCCCUGCCUUAGCUCGCGAGAUUCUUAAGGAUCAAGAUACCAUUUUUGCUAACAGAGAUGUG
RNAcentral lists this long non-coding RNA (7912 nucleotides) under Solanum tuberosum (potato). RNAcentral describes it as "long non-coding RNA (STUB_LNC008572)". Lineage: Eukaryota; Viridiplantae; Streptophyta; Magnoliopsida; Solanales; Solanaceae. The record is from RNAcentral.